This 421-nucleotide ribosomal RNA is filed under the name uncultured Bacteroides sp. RNAcentral describes it as "bacterial SSU rRNA". It matches the Rfam family "Bacterial small subunit ribosomal RNA", at positions 355 to 773 of the family's 1533-position model. The record is from RNAcentral. Lineage: Bacteria; Pseudomonadati; Bacteroidota; Bacteroidia; Bacteroidales; Bacteroidaceae.
UGAGGAAUAUUGGUCAAUGGGCGAUGGCCUGAACCAGCCAAGUAGCGUGAAGGAUGACUGCCCUAUGGGUUGUAAACUUCUUUUAUAAAGGAAUAAAGUCGGGUAUGGAUACCCGUUUGCAUGUACUUUAUGAAUAAGGAUCGGCUAACUCCGUGCCAGCAGCCGCGGUAAUACGGAGGAUCCGAGCGUUAUCCGGAUUUAUUGGGUUUAAAGGGAGCGUAGAUGGAUGUUUAAGUCAGUUGUGAAAGUUUGCGGCUCAACCGUAAAAUUGCAGUUGAUACUGGAUAUCUUGAGUGCAGUUGAGGCAGGCGGAAUUCGUGGUGUAGCGGUGAAAUGCUUAGAUAUCACGAAGAACUCCGAUUGCGAAGGCAGCCUGCUAAGCUGCAACUGACAUUGAGGCUCGAAAGUGUGGGUAUCAAAC